AAGUUGAAAGUAGAGCUCCUUUAAGUUCAAACGAGAGUUUAGUAGGGUAAAGAAAAGCUGCUAAGCUAUGGAUCCCAUAAGCCCUAAUCCUUAUAGAGAGAAAAAGGAUUUGGUUAUAUGGCUUGCAUAUCUUAGGAGCUUUAACUUGCCCUUUAAUUGCUUUUACUCUUCUUUGGAUUGAAGGGAGCUCUACAUCUUCAUUCU
Molecule: microRNA precursor, 204 nt
Filed under: Brassica carinata (Ethiopian mustard)
Lineage: Eukaryota; Viridiplantae; Streptophyta; Magnoliopsida; Brassicales; Brassicaceae
Also listed under: 1 other name
Description: MIR159 microRNA precursor family
Rfam family: MIR159 microRNA precursor family
Source: Rfam by way of RNAcentral